GCCGGGAUGGCGGAAUUGGCAGACGCUGGGGACUUAAAAUCCCUUGGGCCCAACGGCUCGUGCGGGUUCGACCCCCGCUCCCGGCACCA
Molecule: transfer RNA, 89 nt
Filed under: Luteitalea sp.
Lineage: Bacteria; Pseudomonadati; Acidobacteriota; Vicinamibacteria; Vicinamibacterales; Vicinamibacteraceae
Description: tRNA-Leu
Rfam family: tRNA
About the family: Transfer RNA (tRNA) molecules are approximately 80 nucleotides in length.
Source: RNAcentral